CUAAAUUGGUAAUUUUCAUGUUUUUGGCCUUCUAGUAGAUUAUAUGAACUGUGUAAGCUUGUUCCUAAGGCAUGUAGUUAAGAAUUUUGCUCGUAAUAUCGCAAGUAGCUAGACCAUCAACACAUGAUUCGUAUGAGUACAAAAGUGUUCAUAAUAAUAUCAGAUCAUACAUCAAGCUGAUCAUCAACUCAUAUUUUUCCCCUUAAUUAUGACCACUUGGUCUUUUUAUAGAUCCACUUCAGAGGAUUACAAAUAUAGUACUAUUACUAUAUACUUGACUUUAAGUUGCUUUUUAGAGCAAUUAUUUAAGUUCUUGAUAUCAAGCAGAACAAUCCAUACAUAUUAACGUGAAAUGGACGUAGGUCGUUUCAAUUAGUAUGGACUUUCGCCUCUAUAAUUACCUGGAGGAUCAUAGUUGCAAGAGACAACAUAUCCUCCAUUGUUACACUGAACCCUAGCACAUCCAACACGAACCGAGUUACGCCAAACCACCUGAGUAUAGUGUCCACACACCUGUCCUUGUGCACAAGUAUUUGAGUCAUGGUCAUAAUACUGUUUCUCAUCGACCCACAUCUCAACGGCCUUAGCAGCCGUCAUGAAAUCGCCACUUCCCUCAGCUAGGUUUUCGCCGUAUUGACCAUGAGAAUGUACGAGGUUACAAUCUGCAGCCAAUUGGGAAGCAUAAUUUUGCGCAUAGGCUGCUACCUGGUCGUCCCAGGUCAAAGGUUCUACACCUACAUCUGCACGAGCUGUGUUAUGGGCAUCCAAAUAGUCUUGUUGAGAAUUUUGGGCACGGCAAGAGUGGGAUAUUACUAGGAAUAAGAGAAGUGUAGAGACAAGAAGAAAUGAAGGCAAUUGUGAAAAGAGAACAAAUCCCAUGACUAUAGGAGAAAUGUUGUAUCUUGAAUGGAAAAACUAGAUUUACUACCAAGGGUAUUUAUAGGAGAAAUCUUGAAGAUUUCACGGUGAUUAUUCAUGUACUUACUAAAUUUUUUGACAUGGUAAUAUCAAUGUAAUAUAUCCUGUUAUAGAUAAUUUAUCCUAUUUUCUAGGUUACCAUAUUAAACUUAUAUAUGCAGUUACCAAUUGUUGUAAAAUAGUUUUACCCGAUGUUGCAAAAUAAUUUUAAAUUGUCAAUGCAUGAAGUUAAACACUUUUUUGAUCUAUCAGAUGUGCUUUUUGUUAAAUAAAGUAGACUGGUUAUGGUUAAUGUGUUAAUUAAUAUUUUCUACAUUUAACGAUCUGAUUAAUUUUUACUUCCAUAUUUAUAUCUCUUUUUUUUCAGAAUGGGAAUGUCCAUUGGAAAAAGAAUUUAAAAUAAAUACUUUGAUGUUUGAUUUUUCUAAUAAUCUUAUUUCUAAAUCUUAUAUUAUAUUUCUUAUAUGUACAAUCAAUUCUCUAAAAGAAAAAACUAUAAUAAUACCAAACACAGUUUGUGUCUUCUUCUUUCUUUUCUCAAUAUUUGUGGAAAACUUGAACAUGGCCGUCAUCUCGAUGACGUUAAAUAACUAUCAAAUUUGGACGUAAAGAAUAUUUGGAUAUUCUUCAGUUCUUUCUCUAAUUUCCUUCCCUUAAUUUCCAACUUGAUGUUACUCAUGUACUAUCAUACUUUUCUAUUAUCUCAUUCCAAUCACGGCUUGAUCUGGAGUAUAAAUAAAUUUCUAUUUUCUUAUCCCAAUCACGACUUGACUUUAGAUUCAAAUGGAGUAUUUUUUUAUUUUUUGUAAAUAGCUUAUGUUUAUUUCGUUUUUCGACAUUAGUGGAAAAGAAAGCUCAAGUUUUAGUGAAGCUAGAGUUUGAAAUCCUCGAGGGUGUUUUAAGAUUUAACUACUUUAUUUUUCCAAGAAAUAGCACCCUAAAGCAUCUCGCUGUAAUGGCGUUCACUUAUUUUCCCUUUAAUUUAAAUGGAUAAAUGACAACCAAACUCCUUAAAAAGACUUCGGCCAAUGCUUUAGGUGGUGAAGUAUAGACCCAAUACUUACAAGAGAGACCAGUGUUUUUGUUAUGCAAAAAGAGUAAUUGAAGAAUUUUGUAACUAUUGCCAUUUAGCAAUUUGNNNNNNNNNNCNNUCACUUUUGUUUGACAUGUAUACUAAAAAUAGAUUUUCAUUUUUACUUUUCACUUUAUGCAUGUUAAGAGAAGACAAUUUUUUUUUCCUGUUAUACCCACAGUAUUUAUUACUCAUUUCAAAUCAUUUUCUCAAAUCCAAUAAAAUAUGCAUCAAUUAAUAUGGGUAUCAUGGUAAAUUAUGCAUUUCAAUCAUUUUUUCUUAAAGGGUUUGAAAAAUCAAAACGUGUCAAGUAAAAGUAAACAGAGUACAUAUUAUUGUAAAUUAACUUAUCGUGAUGAUUAAAAAAAUUAUAGUCUAUUAGAUGCAAAAAAAAAAAAAAUGAAAACUUAGACCCUACACUAUGAUAAUUGACAUCCUCGUAUAUCUUAGUCCUUAAAAACGUUUAUGUGCUACGAUCCCUAGGUAAAGGUUUGCGCCAUCAGGGUCGCAAAUUGUGCCUCACGACUUGACUAUAAGAUCAAAAUUAAGGUAUCUUAAUUAAUUUAUUCUAUUGAUAAUAGAGCUUAAAAUUCAAAUGUUCUUGAGGUUUUACUUUUCUUAUUGCAAUACAUUCCUCAUUAACUUUAUAGAACAAAAAAAAUGAUACAGUGAGAAAUCAUAGUUGCAAAUCUGAUUGUCAAGAUUUAUCAGAUUUGGGUUCAAAGAAAGUAGAAUAACUUUAUCUUUCAGCAAAUUUGUAUGGACUUAUUUGAGUUAUGCAUUGCUUGGUUCAUCUCUUAUGAUGUAUUGAAGGUUCUCUACGUAGCAUGUCAUGAGUGAAGAAUCAAAAUAGAAUUGCAAGCUCAAUAUUAAAAAGAAUAACUGAAAGUAGAAUUGAAAUUUUUGUGGAAGAAAAUAAUUGGAUAGUUUAUUCAAUUCACGAAUGGCCUUAUAUAGGCAUACAAAUUAGCUUGAAUAUGUUAUCCCACUAAACAAACUCUCCUAAACUUUAGGAAAAAUAUCUGCAACUAACAAUAACAAAAUAACAACUUGAAGCUAAAAACUAGCUAUACUACUGACUUAGUCAACACUACAAGUUGUACAUGGCACAAGUGCAGGAUUAAAGUUGCAGGCACCAUCAGCGUCGUACAUUGUGCUACAGCCUACAAGAGUUGACUCCAACACAAAGAAUGAGAAAAGAAUCAAUACAAACGGAAAGGUAAACAUCUUUACUGGGAUUGUGAAUGCUUUUAUUUGUUUUGAUUCCUUUUAGGCAAUUCGGAUCAGGUUAACCCGGAUUCAUGUAGAUGACGUGAAUUAUAGCACACGAAAAUUUGUAAAUCGACCCGAAUUUCAGUUUUUUAUCCCUAAAAUGCCAAAAGAAGAGGAACGGUCAUGCUGAAGCCAUGAUUAUUGUUCAUUAGGUUAUUUUUUAUGGCCCCGCAAACUGAAAAUUCUGGAUAUCGGGUAGAAUUCCAGCUUUACGGUCGUAAAACACAAAACACGAGGAACGGUCAUGGCAAGGAAAUGACUAAUAUUCCUUAGAUCAUUUUUUAUGGGACGGUAAAAUGGCGACUCGGGUCUGGUCGCUCGAACUAUGCAGAUGGCAUGGGCUAUAGCACACAAAAAUUUAGAAAUCAAGUAGAAUUCCAGUUUUGUGGGCCUAAAAUGCCAAAUAAUGAGUAAACGAUGACUAGUAUUUCUUAGGUCAUUUUUUAUUGGUCGGAAAUUUUUUAGGUGAUUCGGGUCCAGUCGUCCAGACCCAUGUAGAUGACGUAAGCUAUAACACACGAAAAUCUAGGAAUUAUACGGAAUUAAAAAAUUUAUGGCCCUAAAAUACCCAAAAAUGAGGAAUGGUCAUGGCGAGGCGAAGACUAAUGUUCCUUAAGUCGUUCUUGAUGGGCCAAAAACUUUUUAGGCGAUUCAGGUCUAAUCGCUCAGACCCAUGCAAAUGGCGCGAGUUAUAUAGCACAGAAAAUUUGGAAUUGGUCGAAUUCCAAUUUGUUGGCCUUAAAAUGCCAAAAAAUGAAGAACGGUCAUGCUUAAGUCAUGACUAUUGUUCAUUAGGUAAUUUUUAUGGCCCUGCAAAAUUUUAGUUUAUUCGAAUUCGGUAGUCUGAAUUCAUGCAUAUGGCUAUAGCACACGAAAAUUUGAAAAACGACCUGAAUUCUAAUUUUUUGGCCCUAAAAUGAAAAAAAAAGGAACAUUGUUCAUUCAGUCAUUUUUUAUGGUCCCGCAAAAUCUUAGGCGAUUCCAAUCCAGUAGCCCAGAUUCAUGCAGAUGCGUGGACUAUAACACAUGAAAAAUUAGAAAUCUGCCGGAAUUUCAAUAUUUUGGCACUAAAAUGCCUAAAAAUAAGGAACGGUUACGCCGAAGCCGUGACUAUUAUUCAUUAGGUCACUUUUAUGGUCCAGUAAAAUUUUAGGAGAUUCAGAUCGGGUAGCCCUGAUUCAUGUAGAUGGCGUGGAUUAUAGCAUACGAAAAUUUGGAAAUCUGCCCGAAUUCUAAUUUUUUGGCCUUAAAAUACCAAAAAUCGAGGAAUGGUAAUGCCAAAAUCAUGAUUAUUGUUGAUAAGUUCAUUUUUUAUGACCCCGUAAAAUCUUAGGCGAUUCGGAUCCGGUAGCCUGGAUUCAUGCAAAUGGUGUAGACGAUAACACAUGAAAAUUUGAAAAUCGACCCCAAUUAUAGUUUUUUGGCCCUAAAAUGCAAAAGCCUAGGAACGUCCAUGUUGAAGCAAUGACUAUUAUUCGUUAGGUAAUUUCUUAUGAUCGUGUAAAAUUUUAGUCAAUUCGGAUCCAGUAUCCCGGAUUCAUGCAGAUGGCCUGGACUAUAAAGGAAAUUUGGAAAUUGGCCUAAUUCCAGUUUUUUGGCCCUAAAAUGCAAAAAAUAAGGAAAUGUCAUGCCGAAAACCAUGAAAAUGAUUCAUUAGGUUAUUUUUGUGGUCCCUCCAAAUUUUAGGAUAUUCAAAUCUGGUAACCCGAAUUCAUGCACAUAGAACGGAUUAUAACACACGAAAAUUUAAAAAUCGACCUGAAUUCUAUCUUUUUAGACCUUAAAUGCCAAAAAAGAGGAACAGUCAUGCCGAAGCCAUGACUAUUGUACAUCAUUUUUUAUGGACCCCGCAAAAUUUUAGGCGAUUUAGAUCCGGUAGGCCAGAUUAUUGUAGAUGGCGUGGACUAUAGCAUGCAAAAAAUUAGAAAUCGGCCCGAAUUCUAGUUUUUUGCCCUAAAUUGCCAAAAAAACAGGGAACGAUAUGUCGAAGCCAUGACUAUUAUUCAUUAAGGCAUUUUUUAUAGCCCCAUAAAAUUCGAUAUCCACACCUAAAAUAGCUAUCACUUCGCCAUGAUUGUUCAUUGUUUUUUGAAUUUUAAGACCAUAAAACAGGAAUUCAGGAUAACUUCUAGAUUUUCGUGUGUUAUAGUCCGUGCAUCUACAUGACUCGGGUGUCCGGUCCCGAAUUUACUAAACUUUUGCAGUCCAAUAAAAAAUGACCUAAUGAAUAAUAGUCAUCGUUUCGCCAUGAUCGUUUCUCAUUUUUGCUGUUUUAGGGCCACAAACAGAAAUUCAUGACGAUUCCCAGAUUUGCGUGUGCUCUAGUCCACGCUAUCUGUAUAAAUUCUGGUGACUAUUUUAGAAUCUCCUAAAAUUUUGUAGGCCCAUCAAAACUGACAUAAUGAACAAUAGCCACCGCUUUCUCGUGAUUAUUCCUCAUUUUUUUGGCGUUUUAGAGCCAUAAAAUAGGAAUUCAGGACGAUUCCCAGAUUUUAGUGUGCUAUAGUCCACGCUAUUUGCAUGAAUUCAUGCGACCGACUUCGAAACUCCUAAAAAUUUUGGGUUCCAUAAAAAUUGACCGGAUGAUCAAUAGUCAUCGCUUCGCCAUUACCCACCGUCUUUAUUUGGCAUUUUAAGGCUAUAAAAUAGAAAUUCAAGACGAUUCUCAAAUUUUCGUGUACUAUAAGUCUACACCAUAUGCAUGAAUUCGGGCGACCGAACCAGAAUCUCCUAAAAUUUUGUGGAACUAUAAAAACGACCUAAUUAGUAAUAAUCAUCGUUUCACCAUGAUUGUGCCUCAUUUUUUGGCUUUUUGGACCAUAAAACAGGAAUUCAAGAUGAUUCCUAUUUUUGUGUGCUAUAGUCCAUGCCAUUUGCAUAAACUCGGGCAACCGGCCUAGAAUCUAUUUUGCGAGCCCAUCUAGAACGAUGUAAUGAACAAUAGACAUAGAUUCGCCAUGACUGUUCUUUAGUUUUUGGCGUUUUAGGGCCAUAAAAUAGGAAUUCAAGACUAUUACAAAAUUUCAUAUGAUAUUGUCCACACCAUUUGCAAGAAUUUGUGCGACCGACCUCGAAUCUCCUAUAAUUUUACAAGUCCAUAAAAAAGACCUAAUGAACAACAAUCAACACUUCGCCAUGAUUUUUUGUGUUUUAGCGGCAUAAAACAGAAACUCAUCCAGAUUUUCGUGUGUUAUAGCGACGGGGCCAUCUGCAUGAAUUCAAGCGACUGGCCCUGAAUCUACUAAAAAAUUUUAGGCCCGUCAAAAAUAACAUAAUGAACAAUAGUCAUCGCUUCGCCAUGACUGUUCCUCAUUUUUUGGAUUUUUAGGGCCAUAAAAAAGGAAUUCAAGACGAUUCCCAGAUUGUCGUAUGCAAUAGUCCACGCUGUUGAUACCCAAUUUUUCCCUAUAAUAUUUUUCAAAUGCAUAUAUACCUUCAAAACUAUGCAUUAGCAUCAAUUGAUAUUUGUCAUAAUUUCUACAUUUUUCAAAUUAAUUUAUCCCAGUAUUUUAUUUAUAUAAAUAAUUACAAAUUGCAUCACAAAGGACUUUAUAAUAAUUUCACAGUUUAAUUGCUAUUUAUAUUCAUAUUGAGCUCAAAUUAUUUCGCAAAUAGCUAUAUCUACAUUUUUGGGUUAUAAUUGCAAUAACUUUGCAAUUAUAGCACAUGCAUGCAUUAUUGCAUUAUUUUACCAGAAAAUAGCUCAUUGUAUUUUUAUAAUCUUGAGUAAUUAUUUUAAAGCAUUUCCAUGCAUGAAAAUUAUUUUUUUUGUAAUCCGUUAAUUAUUUUAUAAAAUAUAUUUUAUCAAUUAUUUGGGUAUUUAACAAAUAACCCUUUUUUCAAACCUAACCAUUUUUAUCAACCUAAAACCCCCUUUAAUAUAAACCCAAAAGCCAGCCCAAACCCCUUAGGCUCAAUCUGCCUACCCGACCCAAUAACCCAUCUUCAAUCGUGGUCGUUGAUCUUUUAGAUCAACGGUCCACGUUCACUCUUACCUUAAUUAACCCUUAACCUACCCCAAACCCUUUUCAUUCUCUCAAAACCCGUCAUCAUCAUCUCCCCUCAUCUCCCAACUGUAUUUCAACCUAACCCUAACCCUAGUCAUCGUCAUCGGCGUAAACCUCCCUCUUAUGGUGCUUCUAUGUCUUCUCUGACCACUCCUGGUCUCAUACGCUCCACGGUUCUUUGACUUCAUGAGUCCUUGAGAAGAUCUCAAGGAACUCCAACUGGUUCUGGUUUGAAACUUUGUUUACCGGCCAGUAUCAGGCCAUUUUUCAUUUGUAAGUAAGGAUCUCUCCUUGUUUUAUUACGAAUCUAUGGGUUCUAGACCUAUUCUCUUCAUUUCUGUUAUUUUUCCAAAAAACCCUAGUUCGAUAUUGUUGGUUCUUCUUAGAUCUUUAUAGAUCUGAGGUGAUUCGAAUGUUAUUAAGUGUUUUCCUUCAAAAUAUCUCUUGUUUUAAUUGAUUAUUUCGAUUUUUAAUCACUCUUUCUAAACUAGGGUUCAUCUCAAACUUUUCUUCAACGAUUUUUCUAAGUUCUCAAUGUUUAGUUAAUUAUUUUUUCAUCAUCUUAACUGAUUUUUGCAUGAAUGUUCAAACCCUAGUUGAUUCUGUGCGAUAUAUUGGUUUCUUCGAUUUUGUUUCGAUACUUUGUUAUUUCUGUGAUACCAGUCGUAUUAGUUUACUCUGUUUUUGGGCUUACAUAUUUUCCUUGUUAAAAUCCAAUAUUUCUUUGGGAUUGUAACCUAAUUAAGCUCUAUUUAUAGUUUGAACCUGUUUUUCUUGCUGAAUUCUGUAUUUCUGUGAAGCUUUACUUAUUUAAUUUCUAUUUAUGGAAUCAGAGUAAUUCUUUCCCAAAAAUUAGUAUUCUUUUGAAGGGUUUACUGAUUAUUUCCUAUUAUUUUGCUCUGUUAAAAUCUGUGUGUGCACAGAUCUUAUUUGUGACUUUAAUUGAUCACACUUGCCUAAAUAAGUUAUCCGUACGGUUUUGGGAUUCUUACUGAUUCCCUAUUUGGUAUGAUUUGGAUUCCUUACCCUAAUUAACCCUCUUUUGUUGUGAUCGUUAAGUGAUUACCCCUAAUUAAGUGGUCUAUUCCGGACUCCCUUACAUGAAUUGAUUCUGUGAUUAUUUGAUUGCCCCCAAAUUGACUGACUUCUGAUUCUCUUUACCUUAUUUGCUCUACUCUCUAAGUGCUAUAUAUACACUCUUGUUUUACCACUCAAAAACACGAACAGUAGUUCAAAAAUACACACACACACUCAAACUUUCUCUCAUCUUUCUUUCUACUACUUGUGCUCAUUGCUCGUAUAGCCGGCUAAAAGCCAAGGCUAGACUUUGGAACUCUACCUGUCACACCCCUUUUUUAACAACCUAACUCACUUAACUCUCUUAAAUAUAUAAAAAGAUUUAGUAAAGCUCGAAAAGGGCUUUUCAGUUUUGAAAGUGACAAAAGUUGUAUUCAAAGGGAAAAUAACUCAGAGUCACCACCUGACAUUGGUUUCGGUGUGCUAGGUCACCGUUUUUAAAAAAAAAUUCCUUUUAAACAUUUUGGAUUCCAAGACUAAGUCUACACCAGAGAUUUGUGUAAGAGAGUUCAUUUGACUCGGGGAGAAGGUGUUAGGCACUCCCCAAGCCCCGUAACUAGUACGGUUGCAUACUUGAUCAAGUCGGCUUUUAAAAUAUUCAAGUUGAGGUAAAAAUAACACAGAAAAGAAAAAUAAACACACAAGAGGCUCGAGGUCGUCCCCACCUAAUAAAAGAAAAAUAAAGAUAAAAAUAAAAUAAAAGACUGCAAGCGCUACUUUCGGCCUCUAAAUACAAGUACUACGGGGCAUUCCCCGGAACAAAAUAUAUACAAGUCCUUCGGGGCAUUCCCCGGAUAAAUUUAACUAAGGGAACAACCUCUUGCCUCAAAAUUAACAAAAUCCUAAGGCUUGCCUACCCAAGUGUGGUCGGCCUAAGCAUGCUCCUAACGAACAAUAUCAUCAGUAAAGAAAAUAAAAGGAUCUAAAUAAAAGAACUAAGUAAAAGAACAAUUCAAUUCAAUUCAUGGUCAUAUUUUGUUUUAGCUUUUCAUUUUUAUUAGACCGAGCCCGAUACCUAAACCAUGGAACAAAUUAAUUGCUAAUGGGCUUUAGCCUUUCUACCCCUCAAGCCACACGAAGCAGCAACACAUCUAGCAAACAUUACCAGAAAUUGUGAUAUCCAAUGACCAAAUACAUAAGAAAAGCGAAAACAAAAACAGACAAAGACAAAUUGAGAAACUUUUAUAAAGAUAACAUCAAAUAUGUAAAUCAGUACAGCAUCCCAAUAUGCAUGAGAAGAAAAGAUAGAGUGACCUAAACACAUAUAAGCCAUUUAAGACAAACACCUUGGCAUGUUACUGCGCCAUUCUAGAUGCGGUUACUACGUGGAACUUGCAAAACACAUUUAAACUAAUUUAAUAAUCUCAGUGAAUAUAGAUGAAACCAAAAUGAAGGGAAAAACACAAUUUUCAAACACAUGGACUAUCCCGACUCAGUUUUAAAAAAAAACGCUAUCCUAAUGUGAUAAAACUUUGACAUUUUGGACUUAAAUGUUUCAAAAUAAGCUCAAAGGGUGAACAAAAUAUGCUCCAUAAUGCUUGAAAGAAUUCAAAUCCGAGCGAAUAAGAUCAGUCACAAAAAAAAAAUAAAAAAAUUCAUGAACUCAAUCUAAUAAAGAAAAACUACAGAAGAGUUAAUAGACUACACCAAUCUAUUUUCAUUUUUCUUGCCAUACAAAUGAUGUUUCAUAUAAACUAAUGUUGCCAAACGCCUUUCAAGAUCAUUUUGACUAAUCAACUGAUGAUAAGCCUCUUAUCAUAUAAUUAAGUCUAAUAGACUCUUAGUCAAUAUGUUUUCGCCUACACCAAAUCUACACCAAUCAACUGAUGAUAAGCCUUUUAGUCAACCAUAGCCAUUCAAAUUUGCAAACUAGCACCCACUUUCAAGCUCAUUUUGACUAGAAAAGUAGCAGAAAAGAUUUAAACAAGAACAAACCAAUUGACAUGAUCAUCACCAAAGAGAAACACAAAUCACAACAGAAACAAAAGAAAGGAAUAGAAGUGAACCUGUUAAGCUGAAAUCCUUCUAAAUAACAAUGGAAAAAUUAGCAAAUGCACACUCCUCGAAUAGAAAGAAAAUCCGACGAGAAAACAGCAAGCAAAAUCGAACAACGGAACCAAAACUCGAACGACGAACACGACUCCGACCUCGAACAAACUCGAAUGGAGAACGAAUUUUGGCUCAAUCAACCUCCGUGUUGAAACCGAAACCAAAAGAAGAAACUAAAAUCAUUUUUGAGAUAUUUUCUGAUUUUUUUAAAAUGGAGACAAGUUGAAACAAAAAACCUAAACUCAAACUAUUUUUUGUAUUUUUGUUUUUCUGGAAUUUAAACUCAACUGAAAAUGGACCAAAAUGAGAAGAAAAGAAGAAACUCCCUCUUAGAGCCCAAAUUUUUCCAAAUCAUUUUCUCCAAAUUCUUCUCCUAAUCCCCCGAAAUUUCUGUCCAAGACCCAAAUAUAUAGCUCCCUCUCGAAAUUUCUAUCCUUCUUCAUCAAGAAAUCGUGUGGGACCACAAAACAAAUCCGAAAAUCUUUAACCAAAAUCUGAAAAAGAAGAAAAAAAACAAAGCAAAAUCGAAUUUUAUCUCUUUUGAUGCCAUUAAAGGACAGAUGGAGGGGGUAACUCGAUCCUACGCCUCCCAUUUUGCUGUUCAUGCCUAAAAAGAUAAAAUCGAAAAGGAGAUGAGGAGAAGACGCGCAAAAUCGAAUACUAAUGAUGAGGGGGGACCAUGAGGGGACCAGGAGGCGAGUUGGGUGAGUGGACUCGUCCGAUUCCGGCGAGUAUAGAUCGGCAGAGGCAAGGCAGAAGCGGCUGGAGUUUGUAUUUUAGGUUUAGGGUUAGAUUGGGGAAAAUAUUAGGCUUAUAUUUGGGUAUGGGGAAAUAAUGUGAGCCAAUGGAUCAAAUAAAAUAGAUGGCUAGGAUUUAAAAUGGUAAUUGGGGCGGGUCGGCGGAUUGGGUUGGCGGGUCAGCAGGUUUUGAGUUUGGGACAUGUGUCAAAGGUUAUGGGAUUGGGCUGCCCAGAUUUGGGCCUCUUCUUGACCGAAAUUGGUUUAAAUCCGUCAANNNNNNNNNNNNNNNNNNNNNNNNNUGAAAACAAAAUAUAUUGCUAUAAAAAUAUUAAUAACCUAAACUAAAUAGGAUAAGAUAGAACAUGAAACUAUUUUUGUAUUUUUUAAAAUUUUGUGCCUUAAAAAUAGAAUUAAAAUUAGUAAUAAAGUAAAAUCCUAUAGAUAUAAACCCAAAUAAAUAUCCUAAGAAUACUAGGAUUAUUAGAGGUGAUUCUAAUGCAUGGGUCAAAAAUUACAUGUCUACACUACCUGCUUUACUCUCUGCACUUUGCUUCCUUAACUGGUAUGUUCUUAUUUCAAUAUCAUUCUGAAAUUCAAAUCUAUGUUCCCCAUAGUUGCUAAAUCCUUGUCGAUUUUCGCACUAGUUUAACUGAUUAUGUUCUUAGUUGUUCUUCCUGUUUACUGCUUUGAUCAGUAUGCUUAAGAUGUACACCUUCUUGUUCAAUGUUUUAAUCAGCAUGUCUAUGUUUCUAUCUUCUUGUUUUCUAUUUUAGCCAGCAUGUUUACUUGAGUUUUUGUCUGUUUCUUUCAACUAGCAUGCUCAUUUUAAGUAGUUUAGGCUCCUAAUUUAUCUGAUUAACCACAAUUGGUAUGACUAAUCCUGUGUGGUAGACCCUUGUCCUCAACAUGGAUAUUCCUGCAUUCUGUUUCUAUGCUCUAAUGUCUAUUAUCACUUUAGCUUUAAGUAUAAUUUCCUUGUUAAUACUCUGAAUUAGUAGUUUAUAUUCUAAUGCUAUGAAUUUGGUCGCUGGUUGUCAAUCAAUCCCUACUUGUUCUGUGUAUUGUUCAUCAAUAAAUAUGCUUCCCCUCUUAUCCAUGUUCAUGUGCUUCUGAUUUAAGCUCCCUAUGUUCCCAACUCCCCGAUCCCUAUUUGUAAACUUGUUUGUCUUCACUUAGAAUCAAGUAAUAAAUGGCUUUGAAUCUGGGCACUCUAAGUUUUGUGAUUGUGUGGUUCUUUGUUGAAUCUUUGUUCUUCUCAGAAUUGCUUCCAAAACUAUUUUCACUCUUAGCAUUUUCUUAAAACUGUUUCCAUUCCUAAAAUACCUUUUCACUCCUAAAAAUUUUACCUCUAAACUGUUUUUAAUAAGUUCUUCCAACUAUGUCAGGCACUCUCACUUCUACUCUUAGAUUAUGUAAGUUCUGCCCCUCCAGUGUGUGUAUUGCCUAGGAAUCCAUGAGAUUCCUCAGAACUCUGGCACACUGGGGCUGGCCCUUCCACACCGCACAUAACUACUUCUCUAUUUAUAAGGAUCUUGGUGUGAGCAUUGCUCAGGGUACUUUAGGCCCUUGGGAACUUUGACGCACCAGGAUACCUCAUUGGAUACCAUGGACUAUGACAUCUUGGACUGUUUUGAAAGCCUGGUAUUUCCAAGUUCACUUUGGCCUAUUUCAGGCUCCAUAUAGCAUAACUUAUAUUUAUUAUGUAAUUUAUUUAUUUAUGGUCUGUAAUGAUAAUCUUUAUAAACAGAUAUUAGGGAAAUUAGUAAAAGAAUAGGAUUCUUAUAUGAUUUUUGUGGGGAAACCGGGUAGAAAUCAUGCCUUUUGGUCUAUAUUAUAUUUACUUGCAUCAGAAAUUAUGCU
RNAcentral lists this long non-coding RNA (12995 nucleotides) under Nicotiana tabacum (common tobacco). RNAcentral's name for it is "long non-coding RNA (NTAB_LNC003244)". The record is from RNAcentral. Lineage: Eukaryota; Viridiplantae; Streptophyta; Magnoliopsida; Solanales; Solanaceae.